This is a long non-coding RNA of Liolophura sinensis, 1033 nucleotides long. RefSeq lists it as uncharacterized. The transcript is spliced from 3 exons. Lineage: Eukaryota; Metazoa; Mollusca; Polyplacophora; Chitonida; Chitonidae. The record is from RefSeq and is a predicted model, not a curated record.
GUGCAGAGUAUUUCCUCCCUUGCUUCACCGCCAGAUGUCGGAGUUCUCAUCAACUGGCGAAAAUCUCGAAAAAUUGGCGGAAAACAGCCGGUGGAAAGUUGAAAAGGUGAUGUACCUGAUCCUGGUAAAAAAACCCUUCUUAGUGAUUGAAAAGAGAGUUGUUACUCUGGAAAUAGAUGGUUUGGUGAUAGUAUUUGCAAGUCACGUAUUUAACAUGUAAUACGAGGAAGCCACACAGAAUUCAUGCAAAGAUGCUUGGUGGAUCUGAGUCCAUCAACUGAGAGCAAAUGAAAGGCCAGACAAAGUGGAAUGCCCAGUGAAGUCCCGUCAUUCCCGAACUCCCUGAUGGAGUUUCAUUUGAGUAUAGUAUCUCUGUUUGACACUGAAGUUCACUGUUAAACAUAAAUGUUUAUUCAGCGAUGGUUUGGUAAGAUAUUUUGUUAUUUCUUCUGUCAGUUGGAAGAUUAAUAGUGGCUCAGAACACAGAGUCUAAAGCUUAUCUACAAUGGAAGUCAAACCCCACUGAGACAUGAAGUUGUGCAAAUGUAAUUUUGCAUGGAUAUUUCCAAAAGGAAGCUUGUAAGUCAAUGUAUGCAGGCACAUUUUUACAUCAGGAUAGAAUGUAUUGCCGCUGUGCAUUUUUUAUGCACAUGUAAUCUGUUUACUGUUUCCAACUGACAAAUUUGUGAAUGCUUUCGAAUGAGCAGUUGAUGGGGAAAAAUAUGUUGAGAUACGGAUUUCCACUGAUUUUGUUUCUAAUGACACAAAUGUAAACUGAAACUAAGAAUCUAUAUUUUUGUUAUAAGAUUAUUGCCUCUAGAUAAUGUUGAUGGAAAACAAUUCAGUUUACAUGUUACCCUAAUUCCUCAACCAUUUUGCAUAUGGAAGAGCAACUUUCAGCUCAAUUUGUGCACAUUUUUGGAUUCUUGAUCUUAUUUUUUUUUAAAAAUUUUUGGACACAGAACUACAUUGGUUGGGUUGGUCAAUUUCAGUGCUUCACAUGAAGUAUAAUUUUAUCAGUCUACACAGAGUA